UUAAGGGUGUGUUUGAUUCCACGUAAAAUUGUAGAAAAAAAAUUUCCGGUGAAAAAAAAUUUCGGUGGGAAAAUGGUUUUACGUUGUUAGUGUUUGGUUUGUAGGAAAAGAAAAAUAGUUUUUGACGAUUGUUUGGUUGGAAGGAAUAAUAAUAGAUAAAAAAUUAUUUAAUAUUUUUUUAUUAUAUAUUAUUAAUAUAUAAUAAUUAAUAUAUUUUAUAUAUUAUUAUAAUUUUUAUAUA
RNAcentral lists this long non-coding RNA (241 nucleotides) under Ananas comosus (pineapple). Its description in RNAcentral is "long non-coding RNA (ACOM_LNC036071)". The record is from RNAcentral. Lineage: Eukaryota; Viridiplantae; Streptophyta; Magnoliopsida; Poales; Bromeliaceae.